This 406-nucleotide ribosomal RNA is filed under the name uncultured bacterium. Its description in RNAcentral is "partial 16S ribosomal RNA". It matches the Rfam family "Bacterial small subunit ribosomal RNA", at positions 30 to 526 of the family's 1533-position model. The record is from RNAcentral.
AUUGAACGCUGGCGGCAUGCCUAACACAUGCAAGUCGAACGAGUGGCGGACGGGUGAGUAAUGUCUGGGAAACUGCCCGAUGGAGGGGGCUAACUACUGGAAACGGUAGCUAAUACCGCAUAACGUCGUAUGUGCCCAGAUGGGAUUAGCUAGUCGGGGGGGUAACGGCUCACCUAGGCGACGAUCCCUAGCUGGUCUGAGAGGAUGACCGGCCACACUGGAACUGAGACACGGUCCAGACUCCUACGGGAGGCAGCAGUGGGGAAUAUUGCACAAUGGGCGCAAGCCUGAUGCAGCCAUGCCGCGUGUAUGAAGAAGGCCUUCGGGUUGUAAAGUACUUUCAGCGAGGAGGCGUUAUUCGCAGAAGAAGCAACGGCUAACUCCGUGCCAGCCGCCGCGGUAAUUC